AACGAACGUUGGCGGCAGGCUUAACACAUGCAAGUCGAACGCCCCGCAAGGGGAUGGUCAGGCGGGGGAGUAACGCGUGGGAACAUACCCUUUUCUACGGAAUCGCUCUGGGGAACUUGAAUUAAUACCGUAUACGCCCUACGGGGGUAAGAUUUAUCGGGGAAGGAUUGGGCCGCUUUGGAUUAGCUAGUUGGUGGGGUAAAGGCCUACCAAGUCGACGAUCCAUAGCUGGUCUGAGAGGAUGAGCAGCCACAUUGGGACUGAGACACGGCCCAAACUCCUACGGGAGGCAGCAGUGGGGAAUAUUGGACAAUGGGGGCAAGCCUGAUACAGCCAUGCCGCGUGAGGGAUGAAGGCUUUAGGGUUGUAAAGCUCUUUCAACGAUGAAGAUAAUGACGGUAGUCGGAGAAGAAGCCCCGGCUAACUUCGUG
RNAcentral lists this ribosomal RNA (431 nucleotides) under uncultured bacterium. RNAcentral describes it as "partial 16S ribosomal RNA". It matches the Rfam family "Bacterial small subunit ribosomal RNA", at positions 29 to 507 of the family's 1533-position model. The record is from RNAcentral.